UAACACAAAGCUCAGAGACAAAGAAUGAGGGUUGCAGAGAGUAGAGGAAAGUUCAAGGGUAGCUGCUCCUCUCUGCUAAUUCCUGUGAUUUCAUUUUUGCCAAAGAUGCCCUUCUGCAGUAAACUAUGUCCAAACGACCCCUCUACUCUAUCUCCAAAUCCUCACUCCCAAAAAGAGAAUCAAUAGUAAUAGUAAUAAUAAUAAUUGUAGCAAAAAUCUGAGGCUGUGAUGAUAUUUUUUUCUUCUGUCUCUGAGCAAAUUGAUUAAGGCAGGAGAAUAAUCGGACCCGUAUCUUGGCGGGGCGACCCGGAUGGUGACGACUUGCAACCGGUGUUUACAGCCAUGGCGGUGUCUCCAAUCUCUUGCCUUGUCUUCAGUAUUACAGAUAUGAGCCUCAAUUGGAAGGUUAUUUUCUUAAGUGCAAACUUACAGGUUCUUUUCUGUUAAAUUUUGAAAUUCACAGGUGAAAAUCCACGAGAAUUUCCCCUAAAAAUGCAAAAAGGUUAGGCCAGAAAGAAAUGAGGCAAAACAGAGAGUAUUGGGAUUUUCAUUCGAAGGGUGGUUGCCCCUCUCUGUUCCGCCAUUGAUUUUCCUCCAUUUUCAAAAAAACCCAACAGCCCUUGUUUACGACAAAAGCAGAAGUAGAGAGCAUUUGGACAUAAGAAUUGUAAAAUUCCGGAAAAAAGUAAAAAACAAUUCCAGUGAAAUCUGUAUUCACUUUUUUCUUGUGUGUGUGUUUAUGUUGCUGAUGGAUGUUACAUAAAGAGGCAGUGAUGAUGAUGUUUCUUGUAUCUGGGCUAACCGAUUUGGGCAUAGAGAUGACCCAACCCGUAUCUUGGCGUGGUAACCCUGUAUGGCCUGUGAUUGAGAUUUCUGUCUCCCAAAGAGCUGUAGGGAGUUUCAUUGGGUGGUUUUGCUGCUCUCUGUCAAUUCUCUGCCGCCAAUGAUCAAUCAAAUGUACGAUUGCAAAACCACCCGUUUGGUGAAAAUAUGUAUUACUCCCCCGUUUCAAUUUAUGCGACGCGAUGAGGCUAUGAAGAUUUUAUUCUUCUGUGGAAGAUCAAUCAGACAUAUAAAUCUAUUGAGCUGGGAAAAAAAUUGUAAUCUUGGCGUGGCAGCUCAGAUGGGUCUUUGAGAUAUUGGAGAAUUAUCCAUUUUUAUGUGUGUUUCUCCUCUUUCAUAAAACUAACUGAUGCUUGCAGCCAUGACGGUCUUUUUCCAAAGCUUUUUGGGGUUUUGUCUGAGAAAAGGCAAAUCUGAGCCUACCCCAUUGUCUGGAUGAAACAUGCCUGGAUGAUAAAUACUACUUCUAAGGUGGCUUAAAGAAAUGGGGUAAAACAGAUGGGAUUGUCUUUAAAGGGUUGUAAAUAAGUGUAUAUCAGAGGGCAAAGUAAGAAAUAUCGAUCCUCUAAAUAGUUCUCUUUUGACACAAAGCAGAAAACUAAAAGCUCAUACAAAGAAUGAGGGUUGCAGAGAGUAGGGGGAAGCUUAAGGGCAGCUGCUCCUCUCUACAAUACCUGUGAUUUCAUUUUUGCCAAAAAUGCCCUUCUGCAGUAAACUGUAUCCAAACGACCUUUCUACUGUAUCUCCAAAUCAUCACUCCCAAAAAGAGAAUCAAUAGUAGUAAUAAUAAUAAUAAUUGUAGCAAAAAUCUGAGGCUAUGAUGAUGAUUUUUUCUUCUGUCUCUGAGCAAAUUGAUUAGGGCAAGAGAACAAUCGGACCUGUAACUUGGCCGGGCAACCCGGACGGUGACGACUUGCAACCGGUGUUUGCAGCCAUGGCGGUGUCUCCAGCCUCUUGCCUUGUCUUCAAUAUUACAGAUCUGAGCCUCAAUUGGAAGGUUAUUUUCUUAAGUGCAAACUUACAGGUUCUUUUCCGUUAAAUUUUGAAAUUCACAGGUGAAAAUCCACGAGAAUUUCCCCUAAAAAUGUAAAAAGGUUAGCUCAGAAAGAAAUGAGGCAAAACAGAGAGUAUUGGGAUUUUCAUUUGAAGGGUGGUUGCCCCUCUCUGUUCCGCCAUUGAUUUUCCUGCAUUUUCAGAAAAAAAACCAACAGCCCUUGUUUAUGACAGAAGCAGGCAGCGUUUGGACAUAAGAAUUGUAAAAUUCCGGAAAAAGUAAAAAAAUUUCCGAGUGAAAUCUGUAUUGACAUUUUGUGUGUGUGCGCGCGUGCGCUUAUGUUGCUGAUGGAAGUUACAUAAAGAGGCAGUAUGAUGAUGUUUCUUGUAUCUGGGCUAACCGAUUUGGGCGUAGAGAUGACCCAACCCGUAUCUUGGCGUGGCAACCCGGUAUGGUAUGUGAUUGAGAUAUCUGUCUCACUUGCAACUGGUGUUUUGCAGCCAUGGCGUAGCUGACUUCUCUUUGCCUUAAUCAUAACACAUUCAUGAUAAGCCUACUAUAGCAUGGACCAAGUUGUAAAUAAACACACACCAGAAAGGCAAAACAAGAUUAUCGAUGCUUUAAAUGGUUCGCUUUGACACAAAGCAGAAAACUAAAAGCUCAGAGACAAAGAGUGAGGGUUGCAGAGAGUAGAGGGAAGCUCAAGGGCAGCUGCUCCUAUCUGCUAAUUCCUUUGAUUUUUUUUGCCAAAAAGUGCCCUUCUGCAGUAAACUGUUUCCAAAUGACCCCUCUACUUUAUCUCCAAAUCCUCACUCCCAAAAAAGAAUCAGACUGUACUAAUAAUAAUAAUUGUAGCAAAAAUCUGAGGCUAUGAUAAUAAUUUUUUCUUCUGUCUCUGAGCAAAUUGAUUAGGGCAGGAGACCAAUUGGACCCGUAACUUGGUGGGGCAACCCGGACGGUGACGACUUGCAACCGGUGUUUGCAGCCAUGGCGGUGUCUCUAAUCUCUGCCCUCAUCUUCAAUAUUACAGAUCUGAGCCUCAAUUGGAAGGUUAUUUUCUUAAACGCAGAUUUAUGGGCUCUUUUCCGUUAGAUUUUGAAAUUCGCAGGUGAAAUAUCGGCGAGAAUUUUCCCUAAAAAUGCAAAAAGGUUAGCCCAGAAAGAAAUGAGGCAAGACAGAGAUUAUUGGUAUUUUCAUUAGGAGGGUGGUUGCCCCUCUCUGUUCCGCCAUUGAUUUUCCUCCAUUUUCAAAAAAUAAAAAAACCCAACAGCCCUUGUUUACGACAAAAUCAGAAGCAGACAGGAUUUAAGUGGACGUUUGUACAUAAGAAUUAUGAAAUCCCGGAAAAAAGUAAUUUUUUUCCAGUGAAAUCUGUUUACUUUUUUUGUGUGUGUGUGUGUGUGUGUGUUCAUGUUGCUGAUGGAAGUUACAUAAAGAGGCAGUGAUGAUGAUGUUUCUUGUAUCUGGGCUAACCGAUUUUGGCAUAGAGAUGACCCGAGCCGUAUCUUGGCGUGGCAACCCGAUGUGGCCUGUGAUUGAGAUUUCUGUCACACUUGCAACUGCUGUUUUGCAGCCAUGGCGUAGCUGGCUUCUCUUUGCCUUAUCACAACAUAUAUGAGCCCCAUUUGCAAGUAAAGAAAAAAUAGAUAAUCUUUUCUAUGAUUUGGAUUAACAGGUAAAUAGGAAGGGGAGUCUUGGAGUAACCGUAAUGUUUUCCUCGUGUGACCUGUCAGUCACGAGUUCGAGCUGGUCACAGCUACUGAUGCUUGCAUUAGGGUAUCUGUCUACAUCACACCCCUUGAGAGUGUGGCCCUUCACUGGACCUUGCGCGAACGCGGUUGUCUUGUGCACCGUGCUGCCCUUGGAUUAACAGGUAAGUAGCAUAAACCUCAUUAGUUAGUAUGAGGCUGCUUUCAAGGCAGAGAGCUGUAGGGAGUUUCAUUGGGUGGUUUUGCCCCUCUCUGUAAUUGUUCGCCGCCAAUGAUCACUCAAAUGUCCGUUUUUAAAACCACCCUUUUGUUGAAAAUACGUAUUACUCCCUCCCUUUCAAUUUAUGUGACGCAAUGAGGCUAUGAAGAUUUUAUUUUUCUGUGGAAGAUGAAUCAGACUUAUAAAUCUAUUGAGCUGGGAAAAAAUUGUAAUCUUGGCGUGGCAGCUCAGAUGGGUCUUUGAGACAUUGGAGAAUUAUCCAUUUUUUUUUGUGUGUUUUCCUGUUUCAUAAGACUAACUGAUACUUGCAGCCAUGGCGGUCUUUUUCCUCAGCUUUUUGGGGUUUUGUCUGAGAGAAGGCGAAUCUGAGCCUACCCCAUUGUCUGCAUGAAACAUGCUGGGAUGAUAAGUACUAGUUCUAGGGUGGCUUAAAGAAAUGAGGCAAAACAUAUGGGAUUAUCUUUAAAGGGUUGUAAAUAAGCGUAUGUCAGAGGGCAAAGUAAGAAAUAUCGAUCUUUUAAAUAAUUCUCUUUUGACACAAAGCAGAAAACUAAAACCUCAUAGACAAAGAAUGAGGGUUGCAGAGAGUAGAGGGAAGCUUAAGGGCAGCUGCUCCUCUCUACAAUUCCUGUGAUUUCAUUUUGUCCAAAAAAUGCCCUUCUGCAGUAAACUAUGUCCAAACGACCACUCUACUCUAUCUCCAAAUCCUCUCUCCCAUAAAGAGAAUCAAUAGUAGUAGUAAUAAUAAUAACAAUUUUAGUAAAAAUCUGAGGCUGUGAUUAUGUCUUUUCUUCUGUCUCUGAGCAAAUCAAUUAGGGAAGUGAACAAUUGGACCCGUAUCUUGGCGGGGUAACCUGGAUCGUAAAUGAUUUUCCAACCGGUAUUUGCAGCCAUGGCGGUGUUUCCAAUCUCUUGCCCUAGCUUCAAUUUAACAGAUCUGAGCCUCAUUUGGAAGGUUAUUUUCUUAAAUGCUGACUUAAGAAAAGGUUAGCCCAGAAAGAAAUGAGGCAAAACAGAGAGUUUUGAGAUUUUCAUUAAAAGGGUGGUUGCUCCUCUCUGUUCCGCCAUUGAUUUUCCUCCAUUAUCAAAAAAACCAACAGCCCUUUGUUUAUGUCAAAAGCAGAAGCAGACUAGUAAAGUUGCUGCCAUAUGACCAGGAGGCCAUGGGUUCGAGUGGUAGAAACAUUCUCUUGCAUAAAUGCAGGGUAAGACUGCGUACAAUUGAUCCUUGUGGUCCGGUCCUUCCCCGGACCCGCGCAUAGCGGGAGAUUAGUGCAGCGGGCUGCCCUUUACAGUGAAAUCUCUAUAUUUACUUUUUUUUUUUUGUGUGUGUGUGUGUGUGGGGGGGGGGGGGUUGUUGUUGUUGACGGCAGGUACAUAAAGAGGUAGUGAUGAAUCAGGCAAAGAGAUGACCCGACCCGUAUCUUGGCAUGGCAACCCGGUAUGGCCUGCGGUUGAGAUUUCUGUCUCACAUAUACAACUGGUGUUUUGCAGCCAUGUCGUGGCUGGCUUCUCUUUUGCCUUAUCAUAACACACAUCCGAGCCCCAUGCACUGAAAAGAAAAAAAACUUUUCUGUGAUUUGGAUUUACAGGAAAAUAGCAAAAAACUCAUUAGUUUAAGUCAUAGGUUGCGGUGAAUGCAGAGAGCUGUAGGGAAUUUCAUUGGGUGGUUUUGCUGCUCUAAAUCAAUUCUCCGCCGCCAAUGAUCACUCAAAUGUGCAAUUGCAAAACCACCCGUUUGCUUUAAAUACGUACUACUCCCUUCGUUUCAAUUUAUGCAACGCGAUGAGGCUAUGAAGGUUUUAUUCUGUUGCGGAAGAUGAAUCAGAUAUAUAAAUCUUUUGAGCUUGGAAUUUUUUUUUAAUCUUGGCGUGGCAGCUCAGAUAGGUCUGUGAGAUAUUGGAGAAAAAUCCAUUUUUGUGUUUUUUUUUUUUCCUGUUUCAUAAUACUAACUGAUGUUUGCAGCCAUGGCGGUCUUUUUCCGAAGCUUUUUGGGUUUUUGUCUGAGCAAAGGCGAAUCUGAGCCUACCCCAUUAUCUGGAUUAAACGUGCUGGGAUGAUAAAUACUACUUCUAAGGUGGCUUAAAGAAAUGAGGCAAAACAGAUGGGAUUUUCUUUAAAGGGUGAUUGCCCCUCUCUGUUCUGCUGUUGAUUUUCCUCUAUUAAGAAAAUAACAACAGCUCUUGACAUGGAAAAAGAAGAAACAAGAACUGGAAGUGUAAUUAAACUAUACUGCUCUCCCCACACUACUACAUAUCUGUCUUUCCUCUGGUGUGAGUGUUGUUUUUUUUUUUUUUUUUGGGUGUUGAUGGAAGGUACAAAGAGAGGCUGUGAUGAUGAUGUUUCUAUAUCUGGGAUAACCAAUUUGGGCGUGGAGAUUAUCCAGCCCGUAUCUUGGCUUGGCAACCCAACAUGGCUUGUGACUGAGAUUUCUUUCUCUCACAUGCAAUUGGUGUUUGCAGCCAUGGCGUGGCUGGAUUCUCUUUAGCUUUAUCUUAACACGCAUCUGAGCCUUUUUCUUUAUUUGGUAUGAUAAUGACAUGGGUUGAGCUUAAAUGGAGGAACAUGGUUAGUGGCGAUUCAUAUAGCGGAUCCCAACUUCUGGGAAUCAAGCUCAGGUCUUUUGAGUGAGCCAAAUAUCCUAACUGACUAUACUACAACGGAAAUGUAACUACAAGAUAAUUACAGCAUUGAAGGAGGCUUAUAAUUCCUCUACACAUGGAAUUUUAAAGAGGCCCACCUCGUGGCAUGGCAACCCGAUUUCGUUGGUGCCUUAAAGUGUCAGAUGCAACUUGGGUUGCAGCCAUGGCUGUUCAGCUCAUUGGCUCUUGCCUGAGUACGUAUCCGAGCCUUAGCUUUCUUCAUAUUCUAGGUAGUGUUUUCCAUAGCUCUCAGGUGUGCAGUGGUAAAUUGAGCCUUUGAAACAUCCUACAAAUUCUGUUUAAGUUAAGGAGGAAAUGUAUUUGUACUCUUGAUAUCAAGUAUGCUUGAUAGUAUUGCUUAUCAGUCAAGGAUUAAACUUGCUUGGAGUUGACUUUAAUCACCAAAAGGUUAAUAAAAAAUCUGUGUAAGUUCACCGUGGGGCCACCAAAGUGGCUAACGGCAUCAUAUAAACAUCUUUGAGAUGUUUUUCUGACUGUAGGGGUAAUAUUAUUCUCCUUAAUUUUGACAGAUAUUCUAAAGAGGUGUGGGGCUACAUAGAGAUGAGAAGUUCUAAGGGUGCAAAUGAUGGUAACAAUACAAACUUAACAGCCCUUUUGAUUUUACAUGUCUGCUCUCCGAUAAAUUAUAAAUUGGGAUUAAAAAAUUAUAGAGCACUUGUUAGAACUAUUGUUUUACCUAUUCUUCUACUUCGUUAACUUUAGAUUUAUGCACAGGCUGUGAUGAUGAUAGUGUCUGUUAUGAACCCACAGGAGAUACUAGAGGGUACUAGACGCAGUGCACGUGCCAUACACCCUCCCAAAUAUUUGGAGAAUUUCGUGGUCCCCAAUCUAAAGAAAUGACAAGGUCUGUAAAAUCUGUUAGAGGUAGUGGAGGAUUCGCAAGUUACCAUCUGAUGCAACUUAUGCUUCUAUAAAUAUCCAGCAAGGCUAGAAUGAUAGGAUUAUGUAUGAAAUUGAGUAUUUUCUUUUUUGGCUAGUUUUGUCUGGAACCCUUCCCCAUUUCUUUACUGUUUCAUUGACAUUUUUCAGUGUAUUUUCCUAGUCCAGUUCUUAGAUCCUUCACGGUAAUUGUAUUUUGAGUUCAAUCAACACAAGUUCAUACCAAUUUGGUGCUCUCGUUGACCCUCUCCUUCCACUGACAAUGGGUGACGGACCUCCGACGACUCGCCUGAAAACUUUGGAUGACUCCAUGAAAUUGGUUCAUGACCAGCUUGCUACCCAUGCCCAAAAUUUUGAGAACAUUAAUGCUACCCUGCAGGUUCAACAGUCCCUGUUUCAAGAUAUCUCGACCCAACUUGCUCAGAUGCAAAACCAGCCUAAAAACCAAACCACCCCACAAAAUACCCUACAGUUAAACCNNNNNNNNNNNNNNNNNNNNNNNNNCCUUGCCGAGGGCCUGUGCACCCCCGGGAUUAGUCGGGGCUCAAAGAGACUUGGACACCCGGUGCAAAUCAAAAAAAAAACCCGCUGGGCUCUUUUCGCAGAGAUAAACCGGCCACCAUAGACCUGCCACAAUUUGAUGGUUCCGACGCUGUGAGUUGGAUUUUUCAAGCCAAUCGAUAUUUUGACUUUUACAACGUCUCUGCUGAAAAUCGUCUUAGUAUCUGUCCGUUCUAUUUGGAGGGUGACGCUAGAGAUUGGUAUCAAUGGAUGUACAACAAUCACCAACUCUUCAGUUGGGAACACUUUUCCAAGGCCCUUGUGAUUCGAUUCGGUUCUAAAUCGAUUGAAUCACCGGAGAGUUUAUUAGCUAAACUACAGAUGACUUCUUCAGUGACCGAGUAUCUCACUCGUUUUGAAAAGCUUGCUAAUCAGACGACCCAAGUUUAACCGGGGUUGUUGUUACACUUGUUUACAUCCGGCCUGCGACAAGAUAUCAAAACUGACGUGCUAUCGUUUAGGCCAAUGGACUUUCAUGAUGCUAUUGGGCUGGCCUUUCUACAAGAACAAAAGAUAUUUGGCUCUGUUAAUUCAAUAACUUCGACCCGGCCCAAUCAGACUGGUAAGUCUAUCUUUUACCCUUCAACGCAGUUGUCUUCGUCACUUCCAAAGACUUCUGCACCAGUUUCUUCAAUUCCCUCUCCAUCAGUUACGCCCUCAGCCGCCCUUCCUGGUGUGGGUCGCGUACCUUUUAAGAAGCUAACCCCAGCUGAGCUGCAGCGUAAAAGAGAUCUCAAUCUCUGCUUUAAUUGUGAUGCUAAAUGGCACAGAAACCACAAAUGUUCUUCUACACCACAACUUUUACUGCUUUUGGCUGAUGAUGACUCCACGAUUGAGGACCUUCCUUCAGAGUCCUUUGAUACACCCUCUAAUACACCAUCAGUGGUGGUGCCUCCCCAAGCUCCACCCGAUGAUACCACAGUUCCCACUAUUAACUAUCUAGCUUUGUCAGGAGGCUCGACUCCGGCUUCACUACGCUUUACUGGCCAAAUCAAAGGGUUUGAUGGUCAGGUGUUUAUCGACGGAGGUAGCACUCAUAAUUUCAUUCACCCUCGUAUUGCUAAAUUUCUAAAAUUGCCAGUUGAAAGUUCCUCCAAAUUCUCUGUUAUGGUCGGCAAUGGCAACCUCCUACCAUGUCAAGGUGUGGUUCGUCAGUUGUCCGUCAGUGUUCAAGGGUUUUCAUUUGCCACAGAUUUCUUUGUUAUAGAUUUCCAUGGGUCGGAUCUAGUUUUGGGUAUUAUUUGGUUAGCUACUUUGGGUCCAACAAUAACAGACUAUGCCAAACGCACAUUUCAAUUUGAGGCCGAAAAUCGAGUAAUUUGUUGGACAGGUUCUGACCCACCUUUGGAGCAAGUCCAGUUAUCUUCACUACGCCGUCUUUCUGAAACCGAAUCCAUUGCCUGCCUCUUUCACCUUGAACUCCUUCCCAUAACACCACCUCCUGUAUCAGAUCAUCCAUCAGAUCUUUCUACUCUUCUUGACUCUUUUUCUGAUGUUUUUGCUAAAGCCUCGGCUCUCCCACCUACACGUCCACAAGAUCACCGUAUUCCUUUAAUUCCUGGCUCCACCCCUAUUAACGUUCGACCAUACCAUUACCCUCAUUUCCAAAAGGCUGAAAUUGAGAAAUUGGUUUCUGAAAUGCUGCAAUCGGGCAUUAUCCGCCCUAGCUCAAGCCCAUACUCUUCCCCUGUUCUUUUGGUUCGGAAGAAGGAUGGUACAUGGCACUUUUGUGUUGAUUACCGGGCUUUGAACUCUAUUAUUAUCAAAGAUCGCUUUCCAAUUCCUACAAUUGAUGAACUCUUUGAUGAGUUACUGGGUGCUCGCUUCUUUUCUAAGUUGGAUUUGUUGGCAGGAUAUCACCAAAUUCGUGUACACCCUGCUGAUAUCGAGAAAACUGCUUUUCGGACACACGAAGGUCACUAUGAGUUCAUCGUCAUGCCGCUCGGCCUAUCCAAUGCCCCCUCUACUUUUCAGGCCACCAUGAACUCUAUUUUUAAGCCCUUCCUUCGUCGUUUUGUCCUAGUUUUCUUCGAUGAUAUUUUGGUCUACAGUCACUCUUGGCUAGACCACCUUGAUCAUUUGUCCCAAGUUUUUGACCUUCUUCGCCAGAACUCACUGGUUGUCAAACGUUCAAAAUGCCAAUUUGGACAAACUUCCAUUGACUACCUCGGCCAUAUAAUUUCUUCCAAGGGCUUACAGGUUGAUCCUGCAAAAAUUCAGGCCAUUGAAUCCUGGCCUCCUCCUUCUUCGUCAAAGAUGUACGGGGUUUCUUGGGGCUCACAGGCUAUUAUCGCCGCUUUGUCAAAAGCUAUGCUCAACUGGCUUCCCCAUUAACUGAUCUUUUAAAGAAGGAUGCUUUCAAAUGGUCCGACUUGGAAUCUAAAUCUUUCUUGCAAUUGAAGCAUGCUUUAAGCACAGUCCCUGUUCUUUGCCUUCCCAACUUUACCAAAGCUUUCUCUGUGGAAACUGAUGCAUCCGGUUGUGGAAUUGGUGCUGUUCUCUCACAAGAUGGCCAUCCUAUAGCAUUCUUUAGCCAAAAACUUUCUCCAAGGAUGCAAGUUGUCUCGACAUACCAUCGUGAAAUGUUUGCCAUCACUCAGGCAGUCCAGAAAUGGCGGCAAUAUUUGUUGGGUCGUAAGUUUUUAAUCAUCACUGAUCAGCAGCCUCUUCGAGCUCUUACCAAUCAGGUUAUUCAAACCCCCGAGCAGCAACGUUGGCUAAGCAAGCUUAUAGGCUAUGAUUUUGACAUAAUAUAUCGUCCUGGAAAACUUAAUUCUGCUGCAGAUGCUCUCUCACGUGUGCCUGAUUUACAAUCUCUCACGAUGGCUGUUACUGAGUUUGCACUGAUUGAGAAAUUGAGGCAAUUGAAUACUUCUGAUCCUGAUCUACUUCGUCUCCAGCAACAGCUUAUUGAAGAUUCCAGUUCCCUUCCCAAUUUUACAUUUCAGGAGGGUCUUUUACUAUAUCGAAAUAGGCUUGUGAUUCCAAAAGAUGAUGCGCUGCGUCAGUCACUUUUACAUGAGUUCCAUGCUUCCAAAAUAGGGGGUCAUGCAGGCAUUUCCCGAACAUUUCACAGGCUCUCCUCUAACUUCUUUUGGUCGGGUAUGAGUUCAGAUGUCAAGACCUUCGUCCAAGCAUGCCAAAUUUGUCAGCAGAUGAAAGAUUCAGCCUUAAAACCUGCUGGUCUUCUCCAGCCAAUUCCACUUCCUUCUGCAAUUUUUGAAGAAAUCUCAAUGGAUUUCAUCACUGGUUUACCCUCGUCUAGUGGACGGACUGCCAUCCUAGUAAUUGUGGACAGACUCUCUAAAUAUGGGCAUUUUAUUGGUCUUCCACCCAAUUUUACUAGUCAAAAAGUUGCUGAACUUUUUAUUCUGGAGUUCAUUCGCUUACAUGGUUUUCCUAUCAAGAUCAUUACUGAUCGUGAUCCUAUCUUUUUAUCUGAAUUCUGGCAAGAAGUUAACAGAUUGCAGGGUACCCAAUUGGCUAAAAGUUCUGCCUACCACCCUCAAUCCGAUGGCCAAACAGAAGCACUCAACAAAUGUUUAGAGAUGUACCUCCGUUGCUUCACUGCUAAUACUCCUGCCGCUUGGUUCAAACUUCUUCCCUGGGCAGAGUUCUGGUACAAUACUUCAUUUCAGACAAGUUCUAAACUCACUCCAUUUGAAGUUGUUUACGGCAGACCUCCUCCAACGAUUUCAAGGUUCCUUGUUGAUAGUUCCUCCAACCAUACUGUGAUUGAAACCUUUAAGCAACGAGAUGAAACAUUAGCUAUUUUGAAAGCUAAUCUAAAACAAGCUCAGGAUCGAAUGAAAGCUUUAGCUGACAAAGGAAGACGCGAUAUUGUUUUUAAUGUGGGUGACUGGGUUUAUGUUCGCCUCAGACCUUAUCGACAGCUUUCCAUGCGUUUACAACGCUACAACAAACUAAGUCGUCGAUAUUUUGGUCGCUUCCAGAUCACUCAAAGAAUUGGAGAGGUUGCCUACAAAUUGGACUUGCCUGCCUCUUCGAGAAUUCACCCUGUCUUCCAUGUCUCAGUUUUGCGCAAAUGUAUCGGCAAACCUGCUCAACAGAUAACCCCAAUUGAUCUUUUGGAUCAAUCUACUUCCCUGUUGCUCCAGCCUGAAUAUGUCUUGCAACAUCGCCCACUAUCUUUAGGGGUGGCCAUCAAAUUGACCAAUGCUUAGUUCAAUGGACUGGAUUGCCUAAAUCAGAUGCUACCUGGGAAGAUAAGUUGAUUCUACUUCAAAAGUUCCCUAACUUGAACCUUGAGGACAUGGUUCGUCUCCAUGGGGAUGGCAAUGUUAUGAACCCACAGGAGAUACUAGAGGGUACUAGACGCAGUGCACGUGCCAUACACCCUCCCAAAUAUUUGGAGAAUUUCGUGGUCCCCAAUCUAAAGAAAUGACAAGGUCUGCAAAAUCUGUUAGAGAUAGUGGAGGACUCGCAAGUUACCAUCUGAUGCAACUUAUGCUUCUAUAAAUAUCCAGCAAGGCUAGAAUGAUAGGAUUAUGUAUGAACUUGAGUAUUUUCUUUUUUGGCUAGUUUUGUCUGGAACCCUUCCCCAUUUCUUUACUGUUUCAUUGCCAUUUUUCAGUGUAUUUUCCUAGUCCAGUUCUUAGAUCCUUCACGGUAAUUGUAUUUUGAGUGCAAUCAACACAAGUUCAUACCAGUGUCCUUUUUAUCAAGUCUAGGAUUUGACAGAACAAGUUUCUUGGCUGGCCAAUCUAUAUGGUAUUGGGCAUUUCCGCUAAAAGUUCUAUUGUUGAUUUAGCCCGGAAAAUGGCGAGAAUGAGGCAACAGAGAGUAUGGGAUUUCUUUCAAGGGUGGUCGCCCCUCUCUGCUUUGUCUAUGAUUCUCCCCCUCUUCAACAAACCAACAGCUCCUAAGAGAAAGAAAGAGAAACAUAGCACUUCAGUUACUGGUUUGCUGGAUGAUUAUAUGUGAAAUUCCCCGACAUACAAGUAUACUAUGACAAUUACACGGCCUUCAGAUCUUCAGUCUUUCUGCUCAUGGCCCUUUGCGUUUUCUUCUAGUUUGCUCUCAGUGUCUCAUUGUUUGUGGAGACUUGAAGAUGUUCCAUUAUGUAGCCUCAGCAAAAAGCUACACAACAAAAAAUAUGGAGAAGAAACUAUAAUGAGGCGAUAAAAAAGACCUCAAUUGCCCCUUAAGUUCAGCGGUAGGUCUAUAAUGGGGCCGCGAUGAAUGAUUUUUCCUAGUUUGAUGGAAUCAAGAGUUAAUAGGCCGUAUCUUGGCGGGGCAGCCUGGUAACGGGAUUUGCAGUCACGGCGGUGCUUGAAAUGGAAUACAGAUCUGAGCCUCAAUAUACUUAUAAAAAAAAACUUUUUUCCUGGUUCAAGAAUAUGAUUUAGCCUUCGGCCUUCAGGUUACAAAUUAGAAGAAAAAGAAUUCUUCACCCCUAACGUUUCACCAAGCCUGUUGUUGAAGUUCCUGCAUGGCUGUGUUUUCAACACAUCGAAACCUUGAUAGCAAUGGAUAUUGCAUCAGUCUGGAACAUGGGAAAAUUUGUUUCAACUUCUGGGAAUCGAACUCGGGUCUCUUGAGUGAGAUCCAGAUAUCCUAGCUGACUAGACUACAACCGGAAAAGGAGCACAUAAUAAUUACAGAAUUGAAAGAGGCUGUGAUGAUAAUUAAUGUACACAAGGAAAUGGGGAUUGAGUUAAAGAGGCUCGCCUCUUGGCGAGGUAAGCCGAUUUUGAAGGUGCCUUGAGGCCUCGAUGCAAGCUUGGGUUGCAGUCAUGGCGAUUCUGCUCAUGACCUCGUGCUAGAGUACAUAUCUGAGCCUUCUUCUUAUUUUAGAUUGUGUUGACCUUCUUGGCUCUCAGGGUACAGUGGUAAAUUAAGCCUUGAAACAUCCGAUCAAACAGAUUCUGUUUAAAUUAAGCUGGAAAUGUGUUUUACUCUUGAAAAAGUAUGCUUUAUAGUAUGCCUUAUCUAUGAAGGACUAAACUGGCUUGAAGUUGACUAACAGGCUAGUCGAAGCUGGAAGUUCUCUGUGGCGCCACAGAAGUGAUGAACGUAUCAAUUAGACAACUUUGAGUUGCGUUCUUAUUGUUCGGGCAAUGUUAUUCCCCUUAAUUGUGAUAGUAUUCUAUGUAGGUAUUGCUUAAAAAAAUUAUAGAGUACUUGUUAGAACUAUCGUUUUACCUGCUCUUCUAUUUUGUUAAAUUGAGAUCUAUGCACAGGCUGUAGUAUGUCCUUUUAAUCAGGUCUUGGAUUUAACUGUACAAGUUUCUUGGCUGGCCAAUCUGUAUGAUACUGUAUUUGCAGCCAUAGCAUUGUCUCUGUCUUUCUUUGCCUGAUCAUAUGGGGGAUCUAAGCCUUACCCACUUGAAAUCACUUGCUCUGUUUGUCUGUACGUUCAGCUUUUCUGCUUUUAUGAAAGAGAUCAUGAGGACAAAAGACUGUAGUAUACUGAUCAAUAUGGUAGCGCUUAGCCAUGCCCAAUUGCCGAUACUUGUUCCAAAAGUCAGGCACAACCGCACAACAGAAGAACUUGUCUUCGAAAUUUCUUAUGACUUGCAGCUAGGUCAUAUCAGAGGAAUAAAAAGAGGUUUACUUGACUGGCUCUCUUUAUUUGAGAAGCUUUGCUGUGUUUUCUCUUAAAUAUCUCUUUUUGAAAUGGAUGUACCAAUAGGGAGCCUAAGAAAGGGGUUUGAACCCUCCAAUUCGUUACGCAAUCGACCAUAGAUCAAUUCCCUCUUUGUUUAAACAACAUUGGUGCACGGACCAAUUUAUGCACACCUUGGCUAAUCUACUGGAUACUUGUUACCUUACACCAUGCAUGUAAUGUUGCCCAUCAAUGUUUAGAUAGAUAAGAAAAAACCACCUAGUUAUUUGUCUUUGUUGCGAUUUGAAUCCUGAUUUUUCAUACUUUUCCAGCUUCAUUUGGCCGCUAUAACACACCCUUCUUUGCAUGUCUAUGUUUUGGAUGCUUUGCACCCUUUGAGGCCAUGUUUCUAUAUGCUGUGCAAUAACUUGCGUAGCAUUCGAUCUGAUAAAUAAAAGUUUUGUCAGGGUAGAGGGAGCGCGGUUAUGGAUUCGAUGACCUGCAUGAGCAGAUAUAGUCAACUUGGUCUCUAGUUCACAACUGUUUGUUGAAUCGGAGCAGGAGUAAUGCGUCAUCAGAGGUCUUAUUGUCAUAUGGUUUUUGCUUCUCUGCUGAGCAAACAAAAUCAAUAGCCCAUCCAAUGGUAAUUUUAAUUUUUAAUCCCCUAUUGUGGAUUGAAUUAACUGUGUACUGGUAGGUCCAUUACUAUGAUGUAUCUGCUGUGUUUAUGCAGACCUCCUCUUGAAGGUUGCACUCCUCGUAAGCCCAUUCCACAAUUCUCUAAAUCGACCCCCCUAUAGCUAGACUUGUGAUAUCUUGUUGAGCAUUUUCCCUUGAAUUCUAGUAAAGCUUGGCAUUUGCGGUUAUGGUAUCGGAAGUUCCUUUAAGCAGUGUUCAGGCAUAACAUAUACAACAACCAAAUUUGUACGGGAAAAAGCAAAUGGAGGUUGCAGUACCGGAUUUAUCUUGUGCUCUUAUAUUUGGGAUUUGUUGCAAGUCUUCUACUAGAUUAAAUUCCCAUGCUCCAGGUGGUUCAAACUUAAUAUUCUGAUUAUUCAAGGAUCAUUUUAAUUACCUGUUUUUCCAUAUCCCUAAAUAAGUGUUCAAAAAUGUGUUUUGGGAUAUUUAUAUCGAAGUAUGUGUUGAAGAUUCAAGGGGAUGCUUUUUGUGGUGUUUUUCCAUGGGUUUCAAGUAGCUUGACAACAGGGAAUUUGACAAGAUUGGUGGCCCUUUCUCUGCUAUGUUUAUUUCCUUUUCUGAGCAGAAGAAACCAACAGGCCUUCUUUUGGCUGUAGGCUGUGAUGAUCUCUAAUCUUCAAUUCGCCAAAACCCCGUAGAAGGCUGUGAUCAUCUUUCUUUUCUUGUUUUCAAUUUCUCCAAGCUGACUUGUUUGGACUGAGGUGUAGUUGUAUAUUCUGAGAAAGUUCUUAGGGACAAUAGCAAAAUCUUAUUUGCUUACUGGCGAUUGAACGCAAUGACGUGCUGAAGUUGUUUGGCAUGCCUAAGUUAUUUUUUUUAAUCUCGUUUCAUAGUUUUAGCUGAUUUGGGUGGCUUAUAUGGGUUCUAUAUAUCUCCGCGCAUACACUCGUACAAUUUUCACUUCGAUGUUAGUUGGCUCAUUUCUGCCAUUAAUUAUAAAGAAAAUUUUAUGCUGU
RNAcentral lists this long non-coding RNA (16092 nucleotides) under Nicotiana tabacum (common tobacco). Its description in RNAcentral is "long non-coding RNA (NTAB_LNC001024)". Lineage: Eukaryota; Viridiplantae; Streptophyta; Magnoliopsida; Solanales; Solanaceae. The record is from RNAcentral.